GCUUAACACAUGCAAGUCGAGGGGCAGCAUUUUAGUUUGCUUGCAAACUGAAGAUGGCGACCGGCGCACGGGUGAGUAACACGUAUCCAACCUGCCGAUAACUCCGGAAUAGCCUUUCGAAAGAAAGAUUAAUACCGGAUAGCAUACGAAUAUCGCAUGAUAUUUUUAUUAAAGAAUUUCGGUUAUCGAUGGGGAUGCGUUCCAUUAGUUUGUUGGCGGGGUAACGGCCCACCAAGACUACGAUGGAUAGGGGUUCUGAGAGGAAGGUCCCCCACAUUGGAACUGAGACACGGUCCAAACUCCUACGGGAGGCAGCAGUGAGGAAUAUUGGUCAAUGGGCGAGAGCCUGAACCAGCCAAGUAGCGUGAAGGAUGAAGGCUCUAUGGGGCGUAAACUUCUUUUAUAUGGGAAUAAAGUUUUCCACGUGUGGAAUUUUGUAUGUACCAUAUGAAUAAGGAUCGGCUAACUCCGUGCCAGCAGCCGCGGUAAUACGGAGGAUCCGAGCGUUAUCCGGAUUUAUUGGGUUUAAAGGGAGCGUAGGUGGAUUGUUAAGUCAGUUGUGAAAGUUUGCGGCUCAACCGUAAAAUUGCAGUUGAAACUGGCAGUCUUGAGUACAGUAGAGGUGGGCGGAAUUCGUGGUGUAGCGGUGAAAUGCUUAGAUAUCACGAAGAACUCCGAUUGCGAAGGCAGCUCACUAGACUGUCACUGACACUGAUGCUCGAAAGUGUGGGUAUCAAACAGGAUUAGAUACCCUGGUAGUCCACACAGUAAACGAUGAAUACUCGCUGUUUGCGAUAUACAGUAAGCGGCCAAGCGAAAGCAUUAAGUAUUCCACCUGGGGAGUACGCCGGCAACGGUGAAACUCAAAGGAAUUGACGGGGGCCCGCACAAGCGGAGGAACAUGUGGUUUAAUUCGAUGAUACGCGAGGAACCUUACCCGGGCUUAAAUUGCAACAGAAUAUAUUGGAAACAGUAUAGCCGUAAGGCUGUUGUGAAGGUGCUGCAUGGUUGUCGUCAGCUCGUGCCGUGAGGUGUCGGCUUAAGUGCCAUAACGAGCGCAACCCUUAUCUUUAGUUACUAACAGGUCAUGCUGAGGACUCUAGAGAGACUGCCGUCGUAAGAUGUGAGGAAGGUGGGGACGACGUCAAAUCAGCACGGCCCUUACGUCCGGGGCUACACACGUGUUACAAUGGGGGGUACAGAAGGCGGCUACCUGGUGACAGGAUGCUAAUCCCAAAAACCUCUCUCAGUUCGGAUCGAAGUCUGCAACCCGACUUCGUGAAGCUGGAUUCGCUAGUAAUCGCGCAUCAGCCAUGGCGCGGUGAAUACGUUCCCGGGCCUUGUACACACCGCCCGUCAAGCCAUGAAAGCCGGGGGUACCUGAAGUACGUAACCGCAAGGAGCGUCCUAGGGUAAAACUGGUAAUUGGGGCUAAGUCAUA
Molecule: ribosomal RNA, 1441 nt
Filed under: uncultured organism
Description: SSU rRNA
Rfam family: Bacterial small subunit ribosomal RNA
Source: RNAcentral